RNAcentral lists this ribosomal RNA (1035 nucleotides) under Erysiphe alphitoides. RNAcentral's name for it is "partial small subunit ribosomal RNA". It matches the Rfam family "Eukaryotic small subunit ribosomal RNA", at positions 51 to 1106 of the family's 1831-position model. Lineage: Eukaryota; Fungi; Ascomycota; Leotiomycetes; Helotiales; Erysiphaceae. The record is from RNAcentral.
AAGCAUGUCUAGUAUAAGCAAUUUAUACCGUGACUCUGCGUGUGGCUCAAUAUCUCUUAUCUCGUAUAUGAGAUAACAUCACAAUACGUGUAUAAGUGUGGUAACUCUAGAUCUAACAUGUGCUAAACCCCCCCACUUGGAAGGGUGUGUAUAUAUUAUAUUAAAACAAAGUGCUUUUGGGGGCUCUGUUGAGACUCGAUAUCUCUUCACAUAUCACAGGCUUGCGCGCCCGACAGGGCUCUCUCAUAUCUCCGCUAUCUCCUCUCUCUAUGGAAGUAUAUGGUACCACUGUGUUCUCAACGGAACACGGAAUUAUAGGUCUCUUCUCCAGAGAGAGACUGAGAAAAACCGCCCCCACCUCAAGAGAGGGCCGCGCGCGCGCAUUAUACCCUCUCCCCACACGGAGAGGUAGAGACUAUAUAUACAGACACGGGUCUCUUUUGGCUCGUGAAUUUGAUGAGAGUACAUUUUAACUCUCUUCGAGAGGCACUUGUGGAGGGCAUCUCUUGUGCCCACACCCGCGGUACACCCUCUCCUAUAGCAUAUAUUAGAUGUGGCGCUGAUAAAGCUCUCGUAUGUAGAAUCGUGCGUGUGGGGGCGUGUCCGUCUCAGCGCGUGCUGUGCUCGGGCGGCUCUCCCCUCUGGAGCCUCACACGCUCCUCACUGUGUGUGUCGGAGCACGACACUUACACUGUGAAAAUAUAGAGUGCUCAGAGCGCGUCUGUGCUCGUACAUAUAGCGUGUAUAAUAGAAUGAGACGUGUGCUCUAUUGUGUUGUCUCUGACAGCGCGUAAGAUUAUAGAGAUGUCGGGCACAUCAGUACUCUGUGUCAGAUGUGAUCUCUAUAUUAUAGACUCUCACUACUGAAACGCAUGUCGCAGAGAUGUCUCAUAAUCGGACACGAGUGUAGGAUCACGACACUACAUACCCGUCAUCUCUACUAACAUAUCCACUAGGAUCGGAAUUCUAUUCUGUCGCUCGUCGCUCUAGAAUCACUAUUCUGUGUCUCGGAUGUGCACGAUAGAUUAGAAGAGA